RNAcentral lists this ribosomal RNA (253 nucleotides) under uncultured bacterium. RNAcentral describes it as "partial 16S ribosomal RNA". It matches the Rfam family "Bacterial small subunit ribosomal RNA", at positions 524 to 776 of the family's 1533-position model. The record is from RNAcentral.
UACAGAGGGAGCAAGCGUUGUUCGGAAUUACUGGGCGUAAAGCGCGCGCAGGCGGCUUCGCGCGCCCGCCGUGAAAGCCCCCGGCUUAACCGGGGAGAGUCGGUGGGGACGGCGGAGCUUGAGGGCGGGAGAGGUCGGUGGAAUUCCCGGUGUAGUGGUGAAAUGCGUAGAGAUCGGGAGGAACACCUGUGGCGAAGGCGGCCGACUGGGCCGACCCUGACGCUGAGGCGCGAAGGCGUGGGGAGCGAACGGG